This 31-nucleotide non-coding RNA is filed under the name Homo sapiens (human). Lineage: Eukaryota; Metazoa; Chordata; Mammalia; Primates; Hominidae. The record is from RNAcentral.
CAAGUGCAUGGUAACCAAAACAGCAUGGUCC